Molecule: transfer RNA, 75 nt
Filed under: Chloroflexota bacterium
Lineage: Bacteria; Bacillati; Chloroflexota
Description: Chloroflexi bacterium (freshwater metagenome) tRNA-Thr
Rfam family: tRNA
About the family: Transfer RNA (tRNA) molecules are approximately 80 nucleotides in length. Their secondary structure includes four short double-helical elements and three loops (D, anti-codon, and T loops).
Source: RNAcentral
GCCGAUGUAGCUCAGGGGUAGAGCAGCUCUUUCGUAAAGAGCAGGUCGAGGGUUCGAAUCCGUCCAUCGGCUCCC